RNAcentral lists this ribosomal RNA (849 nucleotides) under uncultured marine bacterium. RNAcentral describes it as "bacterial SSU rRNA". It matches the Rfam family "Bacterial small subunit ribosomal RNA", at positions 36 to 901 of the family's 1533-position model. The record is from RNAcentral.
UUGGGUGGAAGCGCAUCUAUAUGCAGUCGACGAGGAAGCCCUUCGGGGCGAGUAUGAGUGGCGCACGGGUGAGGAACGCGUAGAUAACCUGCCCUCUAGCGGGGAACAACCUUCCGAAAGGAAGGCUAAUACCGCAUAAGACCACAGUCUCUGCGGAGACAGGGGUUAAAGAUUUAUCACUAGAGGAUGGGUCUGCGUCCAAUUAGCUUGAUGGUGGGGUAAAGGCCUACCAUGGCGACGAUUGGUAGCUGGUCUGAGAGGAUGAUCAGCCACACUGGAACUGAGACACGGUCCAGACUCCUACGGGAGGCAGCAGUAGGGAAUAUUGCGCAAUGGGGGAAACCCUGACGCAGCGAUGCCGCGUGAGUGAUGAAGGCUUUCGGGUUGUAAAGCUCUGUUCUAAAAGAAUAAAAAAAUGAAGGUAUUUUAGAAGAAAGGACCGGCUAACUUCGUGCCAGCAGCCGCGGUAAGACGAGGGGUCCUAGCGUUGCUCGGAAUCAUUGGGCGUAAAGCGGGUGUAGGAGGCUAAAUUAGUCAGAAGUGAAAGCCCUGGGCUCAACCCAGGAAGUGCUUUUGAUACUGUUUAGCUUGAGUAUGGGAGAGGGCAGUGGAAUUCCUGGUGUAGUGGUGAAAUACGUAGAUAUCAGGAGGAACAUCGGCGGCGAAGGCGGCUGCCUGGCCCAAUACUGACUCUCAGACCCGAAAGCGUGGGUAGCAAACAGGAUUAGAUACCCUGGUAGUCCACGCCGUAAACAAUGGACACUUGGUGUUGGAGGUUUUGACCCCUUCAGUGCCGGAGCUAACGCGUUAAGUGUCCCGCCUGGGGAGUACGGUCGCAAGAUUAAAACU